AAUGGUCCCGGUGAGGUUUUCGGAUUGCGGCGACGCCGGCGGGUUCGCCGCCGGUGACGUUGUGAGAAGUUUAUCGAACCUUAUCAUUUAGAGGAAGGAGAAGUCGUAACAAGGUUUCCGUAGGUGAACCUGCGGAAGGAUCAUUG
Molecule: ribosomal RNA, 146 nt
Filed under: Leucobryum aduncum
Lineage: Eukaryota; Viridiplantae; Streptophyta; Bryopsida; Dicranales; Leucobryaceae
Description: partial 18S rRNA
Rfam family: Eukaryotic small subunit ribosomal RNA
Source: RNAcentral